Molecule: long non-coding RNA, 149 nt
Organism: Lampris incognitus (smalleye Pacific opah)
Lineage: Eukaryota; Metazoa; Chordata; Actinopteri; Lampriformes; Lampridae
Exons: 3
Source: RefSeq, a predicted model, not a curated record
AGCCAGAAGAAUGAUGGAACAGUUAAAGAGAGGGAAAAAGUCUCUCCAGAGAUGUUGAUCGAGUGUGUAAAGAAUAAGGACCACAGGAGGCUGCAGGAGCUUCAUUUGAAGGGGGCGGACCUUACAGCUCUGGACCAAUCAGGAUGCAG